RNAcentral lists this ribosomal RNA (506 nucleotides) under uncultured bacterium. RNAcentral describes it as "partial 16S ribosomal RNA". It matches the Rfam family "Bacterial small subunit ribosomal RNA", at positions 30 to 523 of the family's 1533-position model. The record is from RNAcentral.
AUUGAACGCUGGCGGCAGGCCUAACACAUGCAAGUCGAACGGCAGCGGGGGAUAGCUUGCUAUCCUGCCGGCGAGUGGCGGACGGGUGAGUAAUGCAUGGGGAGCUGCCCAGUCGAGGGGGAUAACAACUGGAAACGGUUGCUAAUACCGCAUACGCCCUGAGGGGGAAAGGUGGGGAACUUCGGUCCUACCGCGAUUGGAUGCGCCCAUGUGGGAUUAGCUAGUUGGUGAGGUAACGGCUCACCAAGGCGACGAUCUCUAGCUGGUCUGAGAGGAUGACCAGCCACACUGGAACUGGGACACGGUCCAGACUCCUACGGGAGGCAGCAGUGGGGAAUAUUGCACAAUGGGGGAAACCCUGAUGCAGCCAUGCCGCGUGUGUGAAGAAGGCCUUCGGGUUGUAAAGCACUUUCAGUCAGGAGGAAGGGGUGAUGGCUAAUAUCCAUCACCAUUGACGUUACUGACAGAAGAAGCACCGGCUAACUCCGUGCCAGCCGCCGCCGUAA